GGACCUACGGGGCGCAGCAGUGGGGAAUAUUGGUCAAUGGUCGGGAGACUGAACCAGCCAAGCCGCGUGAGGGAGGAAGGUACAGAGUAUCGUAAACCUCUUUUGUCAGGGAACAAAGGCGGGGACGUGUCCCCGGAUGAGUGUACCUGAAGAAAAAGCAUCGGCUAACUCCGGGCCAGCAGCCGCGGUAAUACGGAGGAUGCGAGCGUUAUCCGGAGUUAUUGGGUUUAAAGGGUGCGCAGGCGGUCUGUUAAGGCAGCGGUCAA
This 266-nucleotide ribosomal RNA is filed under the name uncultured bacterium. Its description in RNAcentral is "partial 16S ribosomal RNA". It matches the Rfam family "Bacterial small subunit ribosomal RNA", at positions 335 to 598 of the family's 1533-position model. The record is from RNAcentral.